GCCAGCAUAUGGCACAGUGGUUUGAGUGCUGGACUACAGCUCUGGAGACCAGGGUUCGAAUCCUAGCUCAGCCA
This is a non-coding RNA of Phrynosoma platyrhinos (Desert horned lizard), 74 nucleotides long. The record is from the annotation of a GenBank genome assembly. Lineage: Eukaryota; Metazoa; Chordata; Lepidosauria; Squamata; Phrynosomatidae.